CCCCAGUAACUGCGAGUGAAGCGGCAAAAGCUCAAAUUUGAAAUCUGGCGUCUUUGGCGCCCGAAUUGUAAUUUGGAGAGACAUCUUUGGAGAUGGCGCCGUCCUAAGUUCCUUGGAACAGGACGUCACAGAGGGUGAGAAUCCCGUGCCUGGGUGGCUGCCCAUCUCCAUGUAAAGUGUCUUCGACGAGUCGAGUUGUUUGGGAAUGCAGCUCAAAAUGGGUGGUAAAUGUCAUCUAAAGCUAAAUAUUGGCGAGAGACCGAUAGCGCACAAGUAGAGUGAUCGAAAGAUGAAAAGCACUUUGAAAAGAGAGUCAAAAAGUACGUGAAAUUGUUGAAAGGGAAGCGCUUGAGACCAGACUCGAUCUGUGGUAAUCAGCUGGGCUUCUGUCCAGUGCACUUGUCAUGGGUUGGGCCAGCAUCGGUUCUGGCGGUGGGAUAAAAGGUGUGGGAAUGUAGCUUCCUUUGGGGAGUGUUAUAGCCCACGUCACCAUGCCACCAGCUGGGACCGAGGACCGCGCUUCGGCUAGGAUGCUGGCGUAAUGGUCUUAAGCGACCCGUCUUGAAACACGGACCAAGGAGUCUAACAUCUAUGCGAGUGUUCGGGUGGAAAACCCUUGCGCGUAAUGAAAGUGAAUGGAGGUGGGAGCCCGCAAUUGUGGGUGCACCAUCGACCGAUCCCGAUGUCUUCGGAGGGUUGUGAGUAAGAGCAUAGCUGUUGGGACCCGAAAGAUGGUGAACUAUGCCUGAAUAGGGUGAAGCCAGAGGAAACUCUGGUGGAGGCUCGCAGCGGUUCUGACGUGCAAAUCGAUCGUCAAAUUUGGG
Molecule: ribosomal RNA, 824 nt
Filed under: Gilkeya compacta
Lineage: Eukaryota; Fungi; Ascomycota; Pezizomycetes; Pezizales; Pyronemataceae
Description: LSU rRNA
Rfam family: Eukaryotic large subunit ribosomal RNA
Source: RNAcentral